GUCCAGGAGAGGGGGGCUGGUGAUCCCUGAGAUGAGGGUGGGGGACGAGGCGAUGAGGCGGCUCUGGCUGGUGGUGGUGGGUGUGGACGGGGUGCUGGUACCCGUGCCCGUGCCCGCGCCCGCGCUUGACUCAGAAGUGCUCACAGACGGGGUCCGGGUGGACAGCCCCAGACCUGUGACGGUGCUGGUGGCCGGCCGUGCGUGCAGCGCCACGUCGGGCUGCGGCACCGCCUGUGGAUGCAGCCCCGGCACCUGCUGCAGCUUGGGCAGCGACAUGACGGCCUGGCUGCUCUCGGCGGGUGCCGGCGGCACUAGCAACGGCUGCUGCGACGAGGCCGACGUGGGCGGCAGG
This 352-nucleotide long non-coding RNA is filed under the name Homo sapiens (human). Its description in RNAcentral is "LNC_000294". The record is from RNAcentral. Lineage: Eukaryota; Metazoa; Chordata; Mammalia; Primates; Hominidae.